UUGACAAAACUGUUUCCAUAUGUGAACA
RNAcentral lists this non-coding RNA (28 nucleotides) under Rattus norvegicus (Norway rat). Lineage: Eukaryota; Metazoa; Chordata; Mammalia; Rodentia; Muridae. The record is from RNAcentral.